Suricata suricatta (meerkat) is the source of this 310-nucleotide long non-coding RNA. RefSeq lists it as uncharacterized. The transcript is spliced from 3 exons. Lineage: Eukaryota; Metazoa; Chordata; Mammalia; Carnivora; Herpestidae. The record is from RefSeq and is a predicted model, not a curated record.
ACAGGCAGCUAGCUGGUUAAACGAGGGAGAGCCACAAACAACACUGGGGUCUGGGCAAGGAGCUCACAGCUGGGACAAAUUCCAUUCGGGCAGUUAUCUUUCCGGCUCCGUUUCAACUCACAGAGAACAGCACUGGACUGGCUACCCCACAUGAUGGUGAAUCCACUGCCUCUUCACAUGUUUGGUACUUGAUUUACGAAAGCACAGCGUUCCUGCUCACGGACUCCUCUGCCCUCCCCGGGACCACACCGAAAUGACUAAAUCUGACUGUUACUCCAGUGAAUCCAGUCAAAUAAAUAAGUCAAUUCUC